UUUUUGCUGGUGCUUAUCACAGAUUGUGUUCAUACACUGAAUACAUAGAGAAAGGAGGCAAAGUAAACCCACCCCAUACACACUUCAGCCAAGGGCCUGAGCCUGGGCUAUAUUGUGAAUGGGGACCCAAGG
This 132-nucleotide small nucleolar RNA is filed under the name Castor canadensis (American beaver). RNAcentral's name for it is "Small nucleolar RNA SNORA51 (ENSCCNG00000017606.1)". It matches the Rfam family "Small nucleolar RNA SNORA51". From Rfam's summary of the family: ACA51 is a member of the H/ACA class of snoRNA that guide the sites of modification of uridines to pseudouridines. The record is from Rfam by way of RNAcentral. Lineage: Eukaryota; Metazoa; Chordata; Mammalia; Rodentia; Castoridae.